Long non-coding RNA from Monomorium pharaonis (pharaoh ant), 4906 nucleotides. RefSeq lists it as uncharacterized. The transcript is spliced from 3 exons. The record is from RefSeq and is a predicted model, not a curated record. NCBI's taxonomy places the organism in Eukaryota, Metazoa, Arthropoda, Insecta, Hymenoptera, Formicidae.
UGGAAUCAACGCAGAGUACGGAGGGAGAAACGACAGCGGGGGAAUCGUCGAGGCGCCGCCGUGUCAACGACAAAGACAGUCACGACGUAACCGGAAAGAUUCGGAGACGCGUCGGUGCUUCGCUCCGGUGGAAACAAAACUUUAGCGGAAGCAGCUGAGCGACAAUCGACCAAGCUCGACUUUUUAAAUGGCCGUUUACCGUCGAACGACUGUGCACUUCCGGGUCCAAUAAAUUCACCCUGUCUCGCAUAACAACGAUACCCCGACAUCGGACGAUCGUUUCCAAACGUAAUUUUGCUUCAUUUUUCUUUUGUUAAUUGCUUUAUAGAUAUAUUGAUUUAAUGGUUGUAAUAUUAAUAGAUAUUCUGUUGUUACUUUUGAUUCGAAUGCCAAUAAUGAAUGUAAUUUACAUUGUUUGACGUGCAUGCCUUUUGUCUCUUUCUCUUUUCUCCUUAUUACAUCGAUCUCUGCUGUCCUGUUAUAAUUAAAAAUAAAACUAUUAUAUAAGUAAACCAAGUCUUUUAAAUAACCAAAUUUCUUUAUCUUGCAGCUUUUAUUCCUUUUAAAACUUAAAUUUAUUGUCUGUGGAGUGUCACAAUUUUUCACUGUUAGAUACACAUUGCCUCGACUCUUUGAUGUCAGAAAUUAGAUUUAAUAUUUAAAACUUCUAGGAGAGAAAAAGUAUACUAAGCUAACAUUUGCCGCAGACUUCGAGACGCCCUUCGAGUAAUGAAUAUUCAUGCCGGCGUAUUUCUAACACUCGGCACGAAAAAAGCGCGAGAAAGGUGGUGGAAAGUAUGAGAAGUCAAAGAGCUCAUGUCAGCGAAAUAACCGAGUAGGACUCUUCUACCGAGAGGAACGCCUCUUAGAAAAACACCACCUAAAGCAACGAGAAACCCGACCCCCGACCCGAACGGACAGCUCAACGUCACGAACUGCUAUUAUCUUGUUCCGAUAAGUUCGCGAAGGCACGUGUUUUCCGAGCCGGCGGGCCGGCGCUACUGAUUAACAAUGUCGCUCGAGAGUUAACAAGCACACUUUCGUUCGCGCGUGAUAAACGAAAGGACUAAACGCAAUCUGGCGUGUAAGUUGCGGAGUUGUCUUCCCGCGCGGUGCUUAUUGUACAAAAAAACUUGCGCGUCCAAUCUCCGAUGUGUUUCAAAAUGUUUUAUAAUUCCCGGGUAACUGAAACUGUAGAAGAUAUACGAUCGAGAUACGCGAAGUGCUACAUGUCCAUGUAAAUGCCGACGAAUGUAUCACUUUCUGGACAGUUAGAUACUCGGGGCGCUCGGAUUUUUAUAUCCCCCGACUUUUAUAAGCCACGGAUCUGGCGGUGCAUGGAACCCUAAACUUGUACACGGUACCCAAGGCGCUUCCAUUACAUUAGAGGCGCGCAUUUUUCUGAUUUACGAGUGAGAGCUGCAGAAGAGGGGAAAAGCGAGUUUCUAGACUUAUAGCUCACUAUCUGGCUAACGCGGCUUGCUUUGGCUUCCCCAGUUUCUUACAUUCUCUCCCCCGAAGCGACUGCUCGUCUUUCCUUUUUUCCAACCCUCGCUCCCCCCCGCCUCUCGCAAGAAUAUCCUAGGGAACCAUAGUCGCCGUUGAAAUGCUUCUCGCCUCGGACACCGUCCUUCCACCGGCAUGUCUGUAUAAUCCGGGGAAUGCUAUUUUCCCUCGCAGGCGUCGACGCCACCCCCCCCCCCUUUCUCCGUAUGUACGCGCGAUGUAGGCGAGGGUGCGUCAGUCGAUGGUGAUGGUGGCGGAUCCCACCGCGCUCCUCUGCCGGUCGUUUCCGGAGCUUUAUCGAAAAAUCCGUCGGAGAAACGGAAAGCUCUCGUGGACGUCCUCGUCGUCUCUUGCGAGGACGUCGGAGGGUCGGAAAAAGACCUCGGCAAGAUGGCGCAUUCGAGACGGAGGGUGAGAGAAAAGGGGGGAAAGGGGGGGGGGAAGGGAGGGAGACCAUCUAGCGAUUUCUUCGCCGGAAAAGAGAAGCCCUCUAUCUCGCCGAGCAAGAUGACCAUUAGGCGAGGGUGGCUUGGCAAGCGUCUUUUUAUUGCACACAUCCAAAGAAGUGUCGCGCUUGUGUGUAUGCUUCGCACUGAAUCCGAUGAAGCGCGAGGAAUACGACACAACUUACGGUAGAAACAAGAAAUCCCUUUACAAAAAUUGUAACAUACAUUCGAACGUAUCCGCCUUACCGUGGAUUCUGUUAUUUGUACAUCGCGCGCAGAAACGUUCGCGCGUUCAAGUCCGCGGACUCUUUUCACAACGACCUGGUAAGCAGUCGUCGUCGUCGUCGUCGUCGUCGUCCGUCUAAUAGAAAAGCGGUUCUUCUUGUGCGCGCGCGCGCCUCGGGAAUUCAGGCCUCCCCCCGUCGCCCUUUGACACGUGGAAUAAAUCUUCCGAAGAGGGUGGAUUUGUCGGGCUGUGGCGUAUAUCAAUAUAUUCGCGGAAUACAAAUAAGCGGGGAGAAGACAGACGACGUACGUAUCGUGUGUCGCGGGGCAAAGCGACAAUAUAGCGACAAGGAAAAGGGAUACCUAGGGUAUCUCGGGUUCAUUGUACCGCUAUCUUCCCUUCCGAUACUUUCUGAUUCGGUCACGCAGAAAACGAUGUCGCGGGGAUAAUAAAUUAGAUGUGUUUCCCCGCCCCUUGCGUCGCGCCGCCUAACGGCGUAACGUCAGCCACGUCGACCCGAUAUCCAAAGCAGAAUUGAAGAAAUUUAUUGUCACCGGGACAAAAUCGCGAGAGCGAGAGAGAGAGCGAGAGAGCGAGAGAGUCCCGUAAAAUUUUACAUAAAGUCGCGUACGUGACGGCGUUAUCGAAUCCGCGGCGAACCGCACUUAUCUGCUCCGUCGAAUCGCUCACCUCGUUUCGUCCGGAACGAAAUGCGCGCCGCGCGACCGUGGAGCGCAUCGAAAUUGGUUCGGAGAUAUUCCCCGCGAACGCGAAAAUCGCCGUAGUGGCAUGCCGACUACCGCGGAACGAGGUAAAUGAUUGUAAUAGAUCUCGUAGAGAAUUUAUGUGCGUCACGAAAGCUUCGCUGUUUUCCCCUUGGGGGAAACAAAUGGUAAAUAUCCCCCUCCAGUUGUCUCGAGAGACAGAGGAGUAAUGAGCUUAGCGUUCAUUGUCAAAAAUUCGGAGAUUUUUGAGGAGUCGUAGAAUGCGUAUUUCAAAAAUCCGUCAGAUCCUCGUCAAAACACAUACAUACUUAAUAGGAUCUGUCUAUGGUAUUUAAAAAUUCAGAUAAAAUAUGCGCGUCUCAUAAUGAAUCUCUCGUCAAAAAUUUACGUGCGCUACGAAAAUCUCUUCGUAUGUUAGAAUAAAUGACAAAACUAGUUGUUAAAAAACAAAGGAGAAUUCACAGUCUAAGAAAUUUUGGAACAAGGAAUAGGCAACAGCAUUAUUAAAAGCGUGUUAAAUUUUUUGGACUCAAAAAUACAGGUUUGAUGUCUAAGUAACUAAAAGAUUAACCAUGACCUAAUCUGGGAAAUAAAUUAUUUAAAAAAUCGUAAAAUUUUUUAUUUUACACUUUGUAUCGACUUCGAUGUUACACCAGUAAAAGUAAAUCUGCUUUUAUGAUAUCGAUUUAACUUAAGAGUGAUGGUCAUCUCUGAGCGGGGAUCAAUCGUGUUUUCAUUUUCCCAGAUUAGGUCAUGGUUAAUUGAAAAAAAUCUUCGGUCGAUCGGUUCGCGUACGCGGUUGUCCGUCCAAUUCGCGGAUUUGACGUUAUUUCAAUUAAAACGAUCGACUGGCACGCAACGGAACGAAACGAUCGCAUGUAAUUGAAAACGAACUGCAUCGAUUCCAACAUCAAUUGCCUCGGGAUACAAUGCCACACGUGAAUGUUCAUCAACUCUUAUCAUAUUAGUGGCGAAUGGCAUUGAGGCUGCAUUAUGAUCGAUUCAAGUUAGAUCGAAUGUCUCCCAUAUUCCACGAACCGGCUGACAUAUCGUAUUUGUAUAAACAUCUUCAUAUAAAAUUUGCGGAUAUUCUCAUUAAAACUCUCUAAAAUACAAAGCGAAUAAAACGUAUCGCAUCAAUAAAAUACCUGAAAAAUAAGACUUUUAACAAAAAAAUUAUUUGGUACAAAAAUUUUUUGAUUUUAAAGAGGACAAUAAAAAUUAGUUUUCAAAAAAAUCAAUUUUUCCAAAUCAUACAAAAAUCGUUUCUUUAAAGUAGAAUUAUAUGUAAAAUUUUAUCUGAUUAUGAAUAAAUCUUUUAUAUGAUUUUAAUUAACUUAAAUAGUUUUAAUUAUAAUAAUCGAAUCUUUCUUUUCAUAAAUAUUUUUCUGAUAACAUUCUUAGAAUUUUCUCCUGCACUACUAUGAACGUACUUCUAAGACAUGUUAUAUACAGAUAAAGUUACUGUUUGCGCGUUGAAGUUCAGGUUUAGCACUCGAUUACACUCGGAUGCGAUCGAUGCACCGAUCCAUGGUAGGGUCGAGAUAUUUCCGGCGGAACUUUGACACGAAGCAAAUCCGAAAUCCGGGAUAACGAGGUCUCACCUCGGUAUUUGUUCGGCCAAUGUCCGGCACCUGAGAACAUUUCGGUUUCUGUAACUACACGGUAAGGUCGUAAGUGCCGCGGCCUUUCUUGCCAUCGGGUCACGCUACAUGAUAUUGCACUCUGCAAUCUCCUCCGACGUGUCAACGCUUACUCUAGUCUCGAAGACAUCCAUGAAAACGAUCAAACGACGGCGUCUUCUCCUCGAAGAACACCUGCGCUGUGAUUUACUUUGUAACAAACUUUCGUCGAGAAUCGGACCGUUUUAAAAUUUCAGUGAUCGUCGAUAAGAGUGAAUUACGAAUUUAUCUCCAAGUUUUCUCACUGAAAAUAUCAAAUUCACCUAAUGGAUUUUCAAUUUAUGGAUGAUUUGAAUUUAUAUAUAACAUUAAUAUUUUUAU